Molecule: ribosomal RNA, 310 nt
Filed under: Nereis sp.
Lineage: Eukaryota; Metazoa; Annelida; Polychaeta; Phyllodocida; Nereididae
Description: partial large subunit ribosomal RNA
Rfam family: Bacterial large subunit ribosomal RNA
Source: RNAcentral
AAUUAAAGGCCAGUAUGAAUGGACACACAAGAAUAAAGCUGUCUCGUUUAGAAUUCCUAUAAUCUGUACGAUAGGUGAAAAUUCCUAUAUAACAAUAAAAGACAAGAAGACCCUAUAGAGCUUCAUCUAUAGCAGCUAAAUACUUAAUUAUAGAAUUAAUUGGGACAAUUAAAAAACAUUUAUACCUUUUUGCCAAUCCACACAAACCCUUUAAUGUAAAUGAACAUAGCUACCUUAGGGAUAACAGGCUAAUUUUGCUAGAGAGAUCACAUUGACAGCAAAGAUUGGCACCUCGAUGUUGGCUUAGGAA